GAGCACUGGUUUAGUAUAUUAUUUACAUUAAUUUGAGCACCGAAGAUUUAACGGAUCUAAACAAUAUACCGACACCUUGUCCAUAAAAAUAUAAUAUUUAAUGGGGUAGCAGAACGUUGGGUAAACAUUUAUUGUUUUUAAUAAUAAAUAUAUGAUAACCCAAGUGAUAAUGCUGACAUGAGUAACGAAAAAGGGGAUAUACCCUCGCCUAAAGCUUAUGGUAUUUUAAAAUAAGUAACGGCCUCUAAGUUUACCAACCUAAAGGAUUAAACGAUGAGAAAAUCUUUUAGUUCAUUAGUAACAACCUUCCUUCUUAUAAGAAAAGUUGAGGGAGGUUCUGGAAAAACCGUGACCUAUCUUUAAGAUAAAAACCGUACCUAAAUACCACCGACGGUAAGCUAGUAGAGAAUACGAAGGCGUUUGAGUGAACAAUCCUUAAGGAACUCGGCAAACUAACUACCGUAACUUCGGAA
This 473-nucleotide ribosomal RNA is filed under the name Golovinomyces orontii. RNAcentral describes it as "LSU rRNA". It matches the Rfam family "Bacterial large subunit ribosomal RNA", at positions 1128 to 1741 of the family's 2925-position model. The record is from RNAcentral. Lineage: Eukaryota; Fungi; Ascomycota; Leotiomycetes; Helotiales; Erysiphaceae.